AAGUCGUAACAAGGUUUCCGUAGGUGAACCUGCGGAAGGAUCAUUAGUGAUAUAGAAAAUCCAUUUUCUAGUCUCUAUACACCCUUUGUCAACUCACACCUUUGUUGCUUCCACUGGACAGAUGGAUACGCCUUGCUGCGAGUCCAUCCUCUGGCAUCCUCACAGAUGACAGGGAGCGCCAGUGGAAAGAAUACAAUUUAAACUUUGUCUUUAGAAAACUUGUCUGACAAUUAUAUUUUUAAUAAAAUAAAACUUUCAACAACGGAUCUCUAGGCUCUU
Molecule: unclassified non-coding RNA, 279 nt
Filed under: fungal sp.
Lineage: Eukaryota; Fungi
Description: partial internal transcribed spacer region
Rfam family: Eukaryotic small subunit ribosomal RNA (bases 1-46)
Source: RNAcentral